UACGAGAGGCCCAAACGUUAUUCGGAAUUACUGGGCUUAAAGAGUUCGUAGGCGGCGCAGAAAGUAGGGUGUGAAAGCCCUCGGCUCAACCGAGGAAUUGCGCUCUAAACUACUGUGCUUGAGGAAGCUAGAGGUGAGCAGAACAGAUGGUGGAGCGGUGAAAUGCGUUGAUAUCAUCUGGAAUACCGGAGGCGAAAGCAGGCUACUGGACCGUCACUGACUCUGAUCUGCGAAAGCUAGGGGAGCAAACAGG
RNAcentral lists this ribosomal RNA (253 nucleotides) under uncultured bacterium. Its description in RNAcentral is "partial 16S ribosomal RNA". It matches the Rfam family "Bacterial small subunit ribosomal RNA", at positions 524 to 776 of the family's 1533-position model. The record is from RNAcentral.